UACGGGGGGAGCAAGCGUUGUUCGGAUUUACUGGGCGUAAAGGGCGCGUAGGCGGCCUUCUAAGUCGGACGUGAAAUCCCUCGGCUUAACCGAGGAACUGCGUCUGAUACUGAAAGGCUUGAAUCCGGGAGAGGGAUGUGGAAUUCCAGGUGUAGCGGUGAAAUGCGUAGAUAUCUGGAGGAACACCGGUGGCGAAGGCGGCAUCCUGGACCGGUAUUGACGCUGAGGCGCGAAAGCUAGGGGAGCAAACGGG
Molecule: ribosomal RNA, 253 nt
Filed under: uncultured bacterium
Lineage: Bacteria
Description: partial 16S ribosomal RNA
Rfam family: Bacterial small subunit ribosomal RNA
Source: RNAcentral